AGAGUUUGAUCAUGGCUCAGGACGAACGCUGGCGGCGUGCUUAACACAUGCAAGUCGAACGGAAAGGCCCUUCGGGGUACUCGAGUGGCGAACGGGUGAGUAACACGUGGGUGAUCUGCCCUGCACUUUGGGAUAAGCCUGGGAAACUGGGUCUAAUACCGAAUAGGACCGCGCGCUUCAUGGUGUGUGGUGGAAAGCUUUUGCGGUGUGGGAUGGGCCCGCGGCCUAUCAGCUUGUUGGUGGGGUAAUGGCCUACCAAGGCGACGACGGGUAGCCGGCCUGAGAGGGUGACCGGCCACACUGGGACUGAGAUACGGCCCAGACUCCUACGGGAGGCAGCAGUGGGGAAUAUUGCACAAUGGGCGCAAGCCUGAUGCAGCGACGCCGCGUGAGGGAUGACGGCCUUCGGGUUGUAAACCUCUUUCAAUAGGGACGAAGCGCAAGUGACGGUACCUAUAGAAGAAGCACCGGCCAACUACGUGCCAGCAGCCGCGGUAAUACGUAGGGUGCGAGCGUUGUCCGGAAUUACUGGGCGUAAAGAGCUCGUAGGUGGUUUGUCGCGUUGUUCGUGAAAACUCACAGCUUAACUGUGGGCGUGCGGGCGAUACGGGCAGACUAGAGUACUGCAGGGGAGACUGGAAUUCCUGGUGUAGCGGUGGAAUGCGCAGAUAUCAGGAGGAACACCGGUGGCGAAGGCGGGUCUCUGGGCAGUAACUGACGCUGAGGAGCGAAAGCGUGGGGAGCGAACAGGAUUAGAUACCCUGGUAGUCC
RNAcentral lists this ribosomal RNA (771 nucleotides) under uncultured bacterium. RNAcentral's name for it is "bacterial SSU rRNA". It matches the Rfam family "Bacterial small subunit ribosomal RNA", at positions 8 to 796 of the family's 1533-position model. The record is from RNAcentral.